GCUGGUGGAGUGAUGACUCUUUCCCCGUCAGAGCGACAGUGUUGAGCACUGCUGUCCAAGCCAGAUCGUGUCUGAUGCACCAGC
Molecule: small nucleolar RNA, 84 nt
Organism: Lepidothrix coronata (blue-crowned manakin)
Lineage: Eukaryota; Metazoa; Chordata; Aves; Passeriformes; Pipridae
Source: Ensembl